AGCGAUCAUCGCUGUGGAAAUCACAAUUAUCACCUUCCUAUUCUUCAUCAUCAUCUUCGAUUAGAGAGAUUCCAGAAGAAGAAUAUGAAGAGAAACCAGUAUCCGCAAUCGCAUCAGUGGCAGCAGGCUGCCCAGUUUGCUUAUCUUACGUUUUGAUAAUGAAAAGCAACCCAAUGUGUCCCAGGUGCAAUUCUGUUGUUCCAGUGCCAAUGUUGAAAAAGCCUCGCAUCGAUCUCAACAUUUCAAUAUGAGAUAGAUUAGAGAGAUUUAAUGUUUGUGAUUUUGUAUAUGAUAGGUGCAAUUUAGGUGCUUAUAGAAUAGAAAUUGUAAGCAAAGAAGAGAUAAAUUAUUAUUAUUUUUAAUGGCUUUUAUCCCCAUAGAAGAUAGGUAAUUUAAGCAUCUUUAUUUAGACCUUAAUUGCUGCCAUUUAUCUUCAUAUUCCAUCUACUCUGUGAAUGAUGAUUUUUGCAUUUAAAAUUCAUACUUGUAUUAAGAUCCUAGUUGAUUAAGGGUUAGUGCCCCUCAUAAUUUGAUGAUUUUCAUCGUAAAUUAGAUGAG
RNAcentral lists this unclassified non-coding RNA (558 nucleotides) under Hevea brasiliensis (rubber tree). The record is from RNAcentral. Lineage: Eukaryota; Viridiplantae; Streptophyta; Magnoliopsida; Malpighiales; Euphorbiaceae.